AAAAACAUGGCUUUUCGAAUUAAUAUAAAGAAAAGUCCAACCUGCCCGGUGAACAAUUUUAAACGGUUGCGGCUCGAGUCGCGUUACGGUAGCAUAAUAAGUUGUCUUUUAAUUGGGGGAUAGUAUGAAUGGUUUGAUGAUGGGGUAGCUUUAUUAAUAAUAUACAUGUGAAGUUUACUUUUAAGUGAAAAGGCUUAAGUUGUUUUGUUAGACGAUGAGACCCUAUCGAGCUUGAUAAUUCCGCUCAGUAGCUGGGGGGAGUAAGUUUAAUCGGGAUGGAUUGGAAGAGAUAAUAUGUCUUCUUAAUUAUAUGAGGAUCCAACAAGGUUGAGUAGAAGAAGAUAGCUACCGUAGGGAUAACAGCGUGAUCCCCCUUUAUAGGCCUUAUUAAAAGGGGGGUUUACGACCUCGAUG
Molecule: ribosomal RNA, 414 nt
Filed under: Donax variegatus
Lineage: Eukaryota; Metazoa; Mollusca; Bivalvia; Cardiida; Donacidae
Description: partial 16S ribosomal RNA
Rfam family: Bacterial large subunit ribosomal RNA
Source: RNAcentral